Molecule: ribosomal RNA, 465 nt
Filed under: Vreelandella stevensii
Lineage: Bacteria; Pseudomonadati; Pseudomonadota; Gammaproteobacteria; Oceanospirillales; Halomonadaceae
Description: partial 16S ribosomal RNA
Rfam family: Bacterial small subunit ribosomal RNA
Source: RNAcentral
CCUACGGGUGGCAGCAGUGGGGAAUAUUGGACAAUGGGCGAAAGCCUGAUCCAGCCAUGCCGCGUGUGUGAAGAAGGCCUUCGGGUUGUAAAGCACUCUCAGUGGGGAAGAAAGCCUUGGGGCUAAUACCCUCGAGGAAGGACAUCACCCACAGAAGAAGCACCGGCUAACUCCGUGCCAGCAGCCGCGGUAAUACGGAGGGUGCGAGCGUUAAUCGGAAUUACUGGGCGUAAAGCGCGCGUAGGCGGUCUGAUAAGCCGGUUGUGAAAGCCCCGGGCUCAACCUGGGAACGGCAUCCGGAACUGUCAGGCUAGAGUGCAGGAGAGGAAGGUAGAAUUCCCGGUGUAGCGGUGAAAUGCGUAGAGAUCGGGAGGAAUACCAGUGGCGAAGGCGGCCUUCUGGACUGACACUGACGCUGAGGUGCGAAAGCGUGGGUAGCAAACAGGAUUAGAUACCCCGGUAGUC